RNAcentral lists this ribosomal RNA (1488 nucleotides) under uncultured Bordetella sp. Its description in RNAcentral is "partial 16S-23S ribosomal RNA intergenic spacer". It matches the Rfam family "Bacterial small subunit ribosomal RNA". Lineage: Bacteria; Pseudomonadati; Pseudomonadota; Betaproteobacteria; Burkholderiales; Alcaligenaceae. The record is from RNAcentral.
GGUCUGACUGUUGUUCAGAUUGAACGCUGGCGGAUGCUUUACACACAUGCAAGUCGAACGGCAGCACGGACUUCGGUCUGGUGGCGAGUGGCGAACGGGUGAGUAAUGUAUCGGAACGUGCCUAGUAGCGGGGGAUAACUACGCGAAAGCGUAGCUAAUACCGCAUACGCCCUUCGGGGAAAGCGGGGACCUUCGGGCCUCGCACUAUUAGAGCGGCCGAUAUCGGAUUAGCUAGUUGGUGGGUAACGGCUCACUACAUGACGAUCCGUAGCUGGUUUGAGAGGUCGACCAGCCACACUGGGACUGAGACACGGGCCCAGACUCCUACGGGAGGCAGCAGUGGGGAAUUUUGGACAAUGGGGAAACCCUGAUCCAGCCAUCCCGCGUGUAAGCGAUGAAGGCCUUCGGGUUGUAAAGCACUUUCUUGGCAGGAAGAAACGGCACGGAUAAAUACCUCGUGCAACUGACGGUACCUGCAGAAUAAGCACCAUAACCGCCACAGCAGCCGCGUAAUACGUAGGGUGCAAGCGCUAAUCGGAAUUACUGGGCGUAAAGCGUGCGCAGGCGGUUCGGAAAGAAAGAUGUGAAAUCCCAGAGCUUAACUUUGGAACUGCAUUUUUAACUACCGAGCUAGAGUGUGUGUCAGAGGGAGGUGGAAUUCCGCGUGUAGCAGUGAAAUGCGUAGAUAUGCGGAGGGAACAUCGAUGGCGGAAGGCAGCCUCCUGGGAUAACAUCGACGCUCAUGCACGAAAGCGUGGGGAGCAAACAGGAUUAGAUAAUUCUAAAGAACCACGCCCUAAACGAUGUCAACUAGCCGUUGGGGCCUCGGGCCUUGGUGGCGCGCAGCUUAACGGUGAAGUUGACCAGGCCUGGGGAGUACGGUCGCAACAUUAAAACUCAAAGGAAUUGACGGGGACCCGCACAAGCGGUGGAUGAUGUGGAUUAAUCUGAUGCAACGCGAAAAACCUUACCUACUCCUUUACAUGUUCAAAUCCGAAGAGAUUUGGGAGUGCUCGCAAGAGAACCGGAACACAGGUGCUGCAUGGCUGUCGUCAGCUCGUGUCGUGAGAUGUUGGGUUAAGUCCUACAACGAGCGCAACCUCGUCAUUAGUUGCUACGAAAGGGCACUUCCAUCGAGACGUUGCCGGUGACAAACCGGAGGAAGGUGGGGAUGACGUCAAGUCCUCAUGGCCCUUGCAGGGUAGGGUUUGCACACGCCGCGACAAUGGCUGGACAGUGGUCGCCAACCCGCGAGGGGGAGCCAAUCCCAGAAACCCGAUCGUAGUCCGGAUCGCAGUCUGCAACUCGACUGCGGAAGUCGGAAUCGCUAGUAAUCGCGGAUCAGCAUGUCGCGGUGAAUACGUUCCCGGGUCUGUACACACCGCCUGUCACACCAUGGGAGUGUGUUUUACCAGAAGUAGUUAGCCUAACCGUAAGGAGGGCGAUUACCACGGUAGGAUUCAUGAUCAGUGCGUCGCAACAAGGUAG